Molecule: long non-coding RNA, 223 nt
Filed under: Gossypium raimondii (Peruvian cotton)
Lineage: Eukaryota; Viridiplantae; Streptophyta; Magnoliopsida; Malvales; Malvaceae
Description: long non-coding RNA (GRAI_LNC011307)
Source: RNAcentral
CAGAUUUGUCGGCUGUUUCGUUUUUACAACUAUAUUUGUCGAGGUAAGUUUGUAGUAUAUAAUAUAUAUGCUUGUUUCCUUAUGAUUAUGUAUAUCAAUUGUUAGUUAAAUUAUAAUUAAUGUGAAAAUUUCAUUGUUUGCUUGUAAAUUAUUAAAUGUUGGAAUUAAGUACAAAAGGAAAAUGAAUAUUUGGUCGUGGUAAAUCUUGUGGUUUCACAAUUUU